CGGGGUGAGUAAUGUCUGGGAAACUGCCCGAUGGAGGGGGAUAACUACUGGAAACGGUAGCUAAUACCGCAUAACGUCGCAAGACCAAAGAGGGGGACCUUAGGGCCUCUUGCCAUCGGAUGUGCCCAGAUGGGAUUAGCUAGUAGGUGGGGUAAUGGCUCACCUAGGCGACGAUCCCUAGCUGGUCUGAGAGGAUGACCAGCCACACUGGAACUGAGACACGGUCCAG
RNAcentral lists this ribosomal RNA (229 nucleotides) under uncultured bacterium. RNAcentral describes it as "partial 16S ribosomal RNA". It matches the Rfam family "Bacterial small subunit ribosomal RNA", at positions 104 to 334 of the family's 1533-position model. The record is from RNAcentral.